Molecule: ribosomal RNA, 499 nt
Filed under: uncultured bacterium
Lineage: Bacteria
Description: partial 16S ribosomal RNA
Rfam family: Bacterial small subunit ribosomal RNA
Source: RNAcentral
GACGAACGCUGGCGGCGUGCCUAAUACAUGCAAGUCGAGCGAAGUUUUUCUGGUGCUUGCACUAGAAAAACUUAGCGGCGCACGGGUGAGUAACACGUAAAGAACCUGCCUCAUAGACUGGGACAACUAUUGGAAACGAUAGCUAAUACCGGAUAACAGUAUUUCUCGCAUGGGAGAUAUUUAAAAGUUGGUUAUGCUAACACUAUGAGAUGGCUUUGCGGUGCAUUAGCUAGUUGGUGGGGUAAAGGCCCACCAAGGCGACGAUGCAUAGCCGACCUGAGAGGGUGAUCGGCCACACUGGGACUGAGACACGGCCCAGACUCCUACGGGAGGCAGUAGUAGGGAAUCUUCCGCAAUGGGCGAAAGCCUGACGGAGCAACGCCGCGUGAGUGAAGAAGGAUUUCGGUUCGUAAAGCUCUGUUGUUAGGGAAGAAUGGAUAUGUAGUAACUAUACAUGUAAGAGACGGUACCUAACCAGAAAGCCACGGCUGACUACGUG